RNAcentral lists this long non-coding RNA (884 nucleotides) under Bos taurus (domestic cattle). RNAcentral describes it as "long non-coding RNA NONBTAT025884". Lineage: Eukaryota; Metazoa; Chordata; Mammalia; Artiodactyla; Bovidae. The record is from RNAcentral.
GGAGUCCCAGGUCUGAACUUUUCUGUUAGUGGUGUUUUAAAAAACUGAUGACAAGCAGAUUUGCAAGUCUCAUGUAUAGAAGCUAAAUUAAAAGUCAAAUUUUAUACUUAACCCACAGUCUUGUGUUUGGAGUUUUUCAGUUCACAUAGUGAGGUCUAAAUCUGAAGUAAAAUUUGAAGUUCUUCAGUUGACGUAGCUAUUGUGUUCCCCUUUCUUAGCUUUUCGUACCAUCUCUUCUAUAGAUGUCUUCAUAGGUCAAGCAGAUUGCUUAGUUGUUACCUGCUGCCUUCAUGGAAAUGGAAGUAGGGCCCUUAAUGUUUUAUCACUGGAUAUGGGAGUCCAGAGUUGCAUGUCAUAACUUUGGAAUAAGUACUGGGUGAAUUUGUGCAAGAAUGACUAGCUUUGUAAGCUGUACAGGCUUGCACCCAUGCUUUCCAGUCUGUUGUUAUAAGGGGAUGUUGAAACAUUUUGUUUUUAAGGAAUGUUUAAAUCUGUUUUAAGGAAAUGUUUCAAAUUGUGCAAAAGGAGUAAAAAUGUGGCCUUUGAAAAGUUCUGUUAAGCCUGGGGAGGAAAGCUCUGCUGAGGAAAGAGUUUGGAAUAGUGACCUUAUCUGUUCCUUAAAAAAUGGCAAUUCAGAAGCAAUGGAGGGAGCCAAAAAGUAAAAACAGAUUUGGAUUGGAAGUAUUCAUAAAACCUCCCUCUAUUUCUCAUCUUUAACCACCUUCUCCUAGCACACCUCUCUCUCACACACACACACUUGAUAAAGGCAGGAGAUUGCAUGAGAAAAUGGGUUGGAUUGGAGAAUCAAGUCUUCUGAGACUCGGUUACUUAAAAUCUAUCUAUAAACCUGAGUAGAAAUUAAUAACUAGGCUCUAACUUAGUGG